RNAcentral lists this long non-coding RNA (1303 nucleotides) under Sarcophilus harrisii (Tasmanian devil). RNAcentral describes it as "lncRNA (ENSSHAG00000026404.1)". Lineage: Eukaryota; Metazoa; Chordata; Mammalia; Dasyuromorphia; Dasyuridae. The record is from RNAcentral.
UAACAAUAUGCAAAAAAGACAAGGCAAUAGGCUUAGUACAUUACAAAAAUAAAUUUUUGCAGAAGUUUACUAUUAAAGUCAAGAUUUGGGAAAAAUGAGUAGCACCCUUAGAUAAAUGAUUGUCAAAAUUUCUCUAUGGUAAGCUAAAAUAAAGCACUCAAAAUUUAGCCAAUAAAAUUAGCAGUAAUUCAAAAUGUAUUAUCAAGCAUAGCCACUUCAUAUUUCAAUAUUUGCAUAGCACAUCUGGCUGACAGGAUAAAGAAAUGAGGAAUUUCAAAGUAGAGUAUAAACUAAGAAGUAGAGGAAGUCUUAUAAAUGCUAGUUAUGUCCUACUUUGGAAAUUGACCACACAAUUUCCCUAGUGUAUCUCCUGCCUGCAUUAAUAGAAUACUAUUGAUAUUUUCUAAAGGCAUCUGAAAAGACAUUGCAAAUUACAUGCAGAACAUACACUUUCUGCCCAUAUUUUUGGGGACUCAUGAUUUCAUCAGUGUGGAUAUUGCCUUCAUGAACACAGAUAUAACACUUUCCUGCUUUGUUCUUAGUGAAUUGUAUUGGAAGAAAAGAAUACCGCUUAUAGCCAACCAUCCAAUGAUGAACACAUCUCUGAAUUUAGCUAGGCUGCACUAGUCUUGAAAGACAUUCAGUCUGUCGUUAGUCUUAACAGUGGCCAAACCAUACACAGUUUCAAAGUGAACAUAGAGUAAACUUCAGUAGCUAUGUUAAAUAAAUGUGGUUUUCUAAAAUAUCAGUGAUGUUCACACAUUGUUGUACAGCAAGAUAAGUUCAGUGAGCAAAGGUACAAUAAUCUUACAAUAAUUGCUCAAGGAAAAGAUUGCUUAGGAAUAUAUAACAAUAUAUUUAGAUAGUACUUUAUAGUUUAUAACAUACUCUUCUCUCAAUAACCUUGUGAAAUAAGUAGUGCAAACAUUAUUAAUCUCAUUUUCCAGAUGAACAGCCUCAGAGAAAUUCAGAAAUUUGUUCAAGGUCACACAGCCAAUAAGUGCCACAACUGAAUCAGGACUAGGACUCAAGUCUUUCCACAUCAUCAUGGGUGAUGUUCUUUUCAAUAUACAAGUGAGAAGUUUAGGACAUGUUGAACAGAAUGAUGUAUAUAACAAGAGACCAGUGAUAUAUGACAUUGUAGUUCUAUGAAUGAAGUGUAUUCCUAAUAGAAAUAAAAUGGCAAUACUUUUAGUUAAAUAAUAAAAUAUGUUAUUAUAAAAAUUCAUUUUCUCAUUUUUUGGCAGAUCAUUUUCAUGUUUUAUUUACUAAAUGCAGAUCCUACUAUGUACAUAUAAAAAUU